AGAUCGUAGCUGGGGUGAACUACUUCUUGGACGUGGAGUUGGGCCGAACCACAUGUACCAAGACCCAGCCCAACUUGGACAACUGCCCCUUCCAUGAACAGCCACAUCUGAAGAGGAAAGCAUUCUGCUCUUUCCAGAUCUACACUGUGCCUUGGCAGGGCACAAUGACCUUGUCGAAAUCCACCUGUCAGGAUGCCUAGGAGUCUGUACCAGGCUGGCCUGUGCCUAUCACCUCUUACGCACACCUCCCACCCCCUGUAUUCCCACCCCUGGACUGGUGGCCCCCGUCCUGGGGAAGGUCUCCCCAUGUGCCUGCGCCAGGAGACAGAAAAGGCAGCAGGCGGCCUUUGUUACUCAGCAGGGGGCUCCGCCCUCCCUCCUUCCUUCUUGCUUCUCACAGCCCCGGUGUGCGGUGAUACGCCCCCACCUCCUGCAAUAAAACAGUAGCAUCGGC
This is a long non-coding RNA of Mandrillus leucophaeus (drill), 454 nucleotides long. RefSeq lists it as uncharacterized. The transcript is spliced from 2 exons. The record is from RefSeq and is a predicted model, not a curated record. Lineage: Eukaryota; Metazoa; Chordata; Mammalia; Primates; Cercopithecidae.